GAAUGCAAGACAGAUCGUUGUCUCAGAAAAACAUGUCACAGAAAACUGGUUGCCUACAUGACUUUAAGAACAAAGAGCACUUUCUGUGAAUAAUCAGCUUUGUGUAGGUUGUCUUCUUAAGUUUCCUAGAGAAUGCCGACUAACAUGCUUCUUGUAUCUGCUCACAUUUGACAGGCCUAGGGAAAGACUAUUGCUGAUGAAGGAGAGAACAUUGCUCCAGGCUUCUUUCAGAGAAGGAUGCCUGGCAUCACCUGCCAGAUCGCCAAAGUAAUUGACAGAUUUUCUGCCAGCUUUUACUUAACACUCUACUGUCCUACCACACCUUUUACCAACAAAAGCUGACAGAUAACAAGAAAAACAGAGAAGAUCCAGAAAAGAAAAAAAACAGGUAAGGGGAUAUCAAUGAAUCCACAUAUUUCUGUUACGUCCAUGCUGGAUGUACACUGAUACAUUGCCAGAAUGGCUCCCUCAUCUGAUGUAUGCAAGUCUGGGAAGGGAAAGGAAACCACACAAGAUGGAAAAUAUACAGAUGGCA
Molecule: long non-coding RNA, 535 nt
Filed under: Pogona vitticeps (central bearded dragon)
Lineage: Eukaryota; Metazoa; Chordata; Lepidosauria; Squamata; Agamidae
Description: lncRNA (ENSPVIG00000014147.1)
Source: RNAcentral